AGAAAUUCUGAGGACUAUGCCUAGCAGCUGAAAUCACCACAACAAGUUCAAAGUCGAAUCCUGGCUCUUCCACAUCCUUUCCCUUCGUACAGUAAACUGAACUGAUGCCUUUUGGAUAUGUUUCACUCACAUACUUCAUAAUUUCAGCAUCCAUGGCAGACCUAUAUUCUUCCACGAAAGCAGAUGGAAGUUCUUCAUCUCUUGCUGGCCUAACAUCUUUACAAACUUGCUUGACAUGGUCAACUCUGGCAACCUGGGCAGUUCGGGGAUCAAGAUACUCAUCCUUAUCAACCUCACUGAAGGAUGUAAUCAGUACAUCGCCACUUCUGUUUGGGAAUUCGAGACAAAUCAAGUGAGAUUUGUUGUACGAAGGAAAUGACUCCUCGGCCGCUUUCUUAUAUAUAUUUUCGUCCUUUAAAAUAGCUCUAACAUCUUUGGCGACGUACUGAAUUUCGCCGGCUGGGGCAUUAAGAAGGAACCAUUUGGCAAUCUCAAUUUUCUGGUCAUCAGUAAGUUGUGUUUCUGAUUCCAGGAAAUCUUCGUCUUCUUCUAACAUUUUUAUCAUUUAUUUUUUGCAAUCUUAUUAACAGAUAUUCUUCUCCAUUGAAUUCAAUUCAAUUCAAAUUCGAAGAAGAUACCAUCAACCCCACCAGAGUCGCUUUCCCCUCUCUUUUGUUACUAGAUGUAGUGUGCCCGUGCGAGGCACGGACAUGUGCCUUUUUGUUCGUAGGAGCAAAUCUAUGAGGAAUUUCCGUCUCCGAAACUGGGCAGAAGAAUGAAUCUACUUUUUUCCAUGGAAAGUAAGAAAGUUU
RNAcentral lists this unclassified non-coding RNA (812 nucleotides) under Hevea brasiliensis (rubber tree). The record is from RNAcentral. Lineage: Eukaryota; Viridiplantae; Streptophyta; Magnoliopsida; Malpighiales; Euphorbiaceae.